Molecule: ribosomal RNA, 253 nt
Filed under: uncultured bacterium
Lineage: Bacteria
Description: partial 16S ribosomal RNA
Rfam family: Bacterial small subunit ribosomal RNA
Source: RNAcentral
UACGAAGGGUGCAAGCGUUGCUCGGAAUUAUUGGGCGUAAAGGGGAGGUAGGUGGUCUCGUUUGUCCGGGGUGAAAUCCCUAGGCUCAACCUAGGACGUGCCUCGGAAACGGCGAGACUGGAGUACUGGAGAGGUUUGCGGAAUACCCGGUGUAGCGGUGAAAUGCGUAGAGAUCGGGUGGAACACCAGAGGCGAAGGCGGCAAACUGGACAGUUACUGACACUAAACUCCGAAAGCGUGGGGAGCAAACAGG